GGUCAAGCUACAAAGGGCUCACGGAGGAUACCUAGGCACACAGAGGCGAUGAAGGACGUGGUUACCUGCGAUAAGUCUCGGGGAGUUGGAAGCACACUUUGAUCCGGGAAUUUCCGAAUGGGGCAACCCCAUGUACGGCCAACUGAAUAUAUAGGUUGGCACGAGCUAACCCAGCGAACUGAAACAUCUUAGUAGCUGGAGGAAGAGAAAGUAAAUAACGACUCCCUC
This 228-nucleotide ribosomal RNA is filed under the name uncultured Prochlorococcus sp. Its description in RNAcentral is "partial 23S ribosomal RNA". It matches the Rfam family "Bacterial large subunit ribosomal RNA", at positions 1 to 241 of the family's 2925-position model. The record is from RNAcentral. Lineage: Bacteria; Bacillati; Cyanobacteriota; Cyanophyceae; Synechococcales; Prochlorococcaceae.